CUGCUGUUGUUGUUGAUGCUGCUGUUCUGGUACCUGUUGCAUUGCGGGGAUUUGAUAGUGCGUCCACUGAGCUUGCUGUGUCAAUGACAUUGAAUCAACCCCAAAAACUAAACCCGAAAUUCUCUUGCCUUGGGUCGACUCGGCAAUCACUCCAGCCUUGACCAAGAAAUCCUCCAGAGUUAUCUCACCUAAAGUUAGUUGCCUCUCCUGGCUUCUCUUAUCAACAUUAUCUAUUUUUACCCCCUGCUGAAUAUCUUGCCACACCUCAUCAACAGUCUUCUUGCUGAGAUCCCUGGACAUUGUAAUGCUCGAUGGAUGAUGCUGAGAAGCCCCUUGCUGCACUGGCCCGUAAUCAUUUCCCCCCACCACUUCUUGAUUAGACUCGAUAGUCCAUACAGUUUUAACAAACUCGUCAAG
Molecule: unclassified non-coding RNA, 417 nt
Filed under: Hevea brasiliensis (rubber tree)
Lineage: Eukaryota; Viridiplantae; Streptophyta; Magnoliopsida; Malpighiales; Euphorbiaceae
Source: RNAcentral